AUCUCUUCUCACUACCAUCCGUCGCCGCUCGCUCAUUGUUUUCUCCCGAAGACGUUCGCAACCGCCAUCCGUCGCCGUUGUCUGCAACCACCAUCCGUUUCCGCUCUCUGCAACCGCCAUCCGCCCCAGCUACAGCCACUGUCGCUGUCGUCCGCCCCAGCCACAGCCGCUAUCGCUGCCGUCCGCCAUAGCCACAUCCACGACCACAUCUUCCAGUCAGUGCUCCUCAGCAGUUGCCAGCCACCGUCCGCCAUAGCCACAUCCGCGACCACAUCUUCCAGCAGUUGCCUUCCACCUACAUUAGAUCAAGAGAGAGAUAGGAUAUCAUCUUUGCCGAGGCAGCCACACAAUGUUGGUUUGUGAAUGAACAAGCUGGGAGGGCACUGUUUUUUACUGGUUGAUUGAGUCUCUGGGUGUUCUUCUAUAGCUUAUGGAGCUGCUGAGGAGAUUGGGUUGUUUCACAUUAAUGCCGAUGGAAAGACUCUUCACCUCAAUCCUCAUUCGUGGAACAAGUUGGCAAACCUGCUUUUUCUUGAAUCACCAACUGGUGUUGGUUUCUCAUACUCAAAUACAAUAUCAGAUUUGUAUACUGCAAGCGAUCAAAGAACGGGUUUGCUAUGUCCUGGAGAUCAAUUUUUUGUGCUCUCCUCUGAUGGCUUAUACCAAUACUUGAGCAAUGAGGAAGUUGUUUCCCAUGUUGCAAAUUUUAUGGAGAAAUUUCCUGAUGGAGAUCCUGCACAACACAUAUAUGAUUGAGGGAAUGGAUUUACAUGAAUUGCUUGACAUUCUAACAGGAGACCGAAGGAAGUACCAUGAUAAUGUCACUGUUAUAGUAAUAUCUCUCAAAGGAAGAAUUUAAAAAUCAUUAGGAAAAUACCUUUGAAUUCCUCCAACAGCACAAAUCUCCUGUUGUAGUUUCUAGGAACAUUAUGAAAUUUGAUAAUGAUCUCGCUUCAUGUCUCAAUAGUAUAAAUUUAUAAAUAAACUAUUUUUUUUUUUAAAUUUGCUCCUUGCAAGUUGAACAUACUGUAGUUUCUAUGAACAUUAUGAAAUUUGGUAAUGAUUUGGCUUCAUGUCUCAAUAGUAUAAAUUUAUAAAUAAACUAAUUUUUUUUAAAUACCAGAUAUGAUU
Ipomoea triloba (trilobed morning glory) is the source of this 1131-nucleotide long non-coding RNA. RefSeq lists it as uncharacterized. The record is from RefSeq and is a predicted model, not a curated record. Lineage: Eukaryota; Viridiplantae; Streptophyta; Magnoliopsida; Solanales; Convolvulaceae. The transcript has 5 exons.